GACGAACGCUGGCGGCGUGCUUAACACAUGCAAGUCGAACGGUAAGGCCCUUCGGGGUACACGAGUGGCGAACGGGUGAGUAACACGUGGGUGAUCUGCCCUGCACUUCGGGAUAAGCCUGGGAAACUGGGUCUAAUACCGGAUAGGACUCCUGGCUUUAUGGUUGGGGGUGGAAAGCUUUUGCGGUGUGGGGAUGGGCCCGCGGCCUAUAAGCUUGUUGGGGGGGUAAUGGCCUACCCAGGGGACGACGGGUAGCCGGCCUGGGAGGGUGACCGGUGGCACGGGGACUGAGCUACAGCGCGGACUCCUACGGGAGGCAGCAUAGGGGAAUAUUGAACAAUGGGCGCAAGACUGAUGCAGCGACGCCGCGUGAGGGAUGACGGCCUUCGGGUUGUAAACCUCUUUCAGCUAUGACGAAGCGCAAGUGACGGUAGUAGCAGAAGAAGGACCGGCCAACUACGUGCCAGCCGCCGCGGUAA
RNAcentral lists this ribosomal RNA (479 nucleotides) under uncultured bacterium. RNAcentral's name for it is "partial 16S ribosomal RNA". It matches the Rfam family "Bacterial small subunit ribosomal RNA", at positions 28 to 523 of the family's 1533-position model. The record is from RNAcentral.